CUUUCUGGUGUGGCUUGGAUUUGGGGGAUUUUGCGGGCUUUGAAUGCAAGUCGGCUCCCUUGAAAAGGAUUGGUGGUAUCUGAGCCAUACUAUGGGUGUGAUAAAUUAUCUAUGCCUUGUCGUGUGCCAGAGGAUGCCCCUUAUCAAAGUGUCGCGAUAGAUUUGACCUCAAAUCAGGUAGGACUACCCGCUGAACUUAG
Molecule: unclassified non-coding RNA, 200 nt
Filed under: soil metagenome
Description: partial contains internal transcribed spacer 2 and large subunit ribosomal RNA
Source: RNAcentral